Long non-coding RNA from Dicentrarchus labrax (European seabass), 612 nucleotides. RefSeq lists it as uncharacterized. Lineage: Eukaryota; Metazoa; Chordata; Actinopteri; Moronidae. The transcript has 4 exons. The record is from RefSeq and is a predicted model, not a curated record.
CAACAAGUGAACCAGAGAUCUCCCCCUGUCCCAAUGCACUAGACACUUACAGCUCCAACACUGGGCAAAGCACUCCACUGCAGCUUUUGCAGCUGGGCUGCCCUGCCUCACUUGGAUGCAUCAACAAAGCUUGAAGUGGCCACUCUAAUCUGGUACCAGGAUCAGUGGAGCAGCCACUGUGCAGUGAAACCGGAGCACCCGGAGAAAGCCCACGCAGACGCAGGGAGAACAUGCCAACUCCACACAGAGAGGCCCUGCCCUAACUGGAAAACAAACCCAGGAUCUUCUUGCUGUGAGGCAACAAACGGAGGCUGCUGUCUGGCUGAAGAUUGACCAUGGCUCAGGGCUGGAUAGAGACCUAUAUGACAGGCCCCACUGAGGACUGAAUGGACAGCAGUGUCUGAUGAAUGGCCUGCCUCCCUUCUUAAUCACAAAGCCCUCACACCAAGUGAGACACCAACAAAGGCAAGUGUGGUAACGCUAUACAAGGCCAAGGUUCUCAAUAUACCUUUGGUGACACACUCUGACUUUUUGUGGUGUAUCAACACAGUGUCUGUUUCACAGCCGGCCCUGCUCAGUCAGUUCAAAAACUGAAAAGGUUGUUAUGUGAGU